Non-coding RNA from Niastella koreensis GR20-10, 36 nucleotides. Lineage: Bacteria; Pseudomonadati; Bacteroidota; Chitinophagia; Chitinophagales; Chitinophagaceae. The record is from Rfam.
AGUGGGAUUCGCCGAAAACCAUUAAAAGAGUAGGCA